This 460-nucleotide ribosomal RNA is filed under the name uncultured bacterium. RNAcentral describes it as "partial 16S ribosomal RNA". It matches the Rfam family "Bacterial small subunit ribosomal RNA", at positions 338 to 795 of the family's 1533-position model. The record is from RNAcentral.
CCUACGGGUGGCAGCAGUGAGGAAUAUUGGUCAAUGGUCGGGAGCCUGAACCAGCCAAGCCGCGUGUAGGAUGAAUGUACUACGUAUUGUAAACUUCUUUUAUAAAGGAAUAAAGUGAGGCACGUGUGCCUUGUUGAAUGUACUUUAUGAAUAAGGAUCGGCUAACUCCGUGCCAGCAGCCGCGGUAAUACGGAGGAUCCGAGCGUUAUCCGGAUUUAUUGGGUUUAAAGGGAGCGUAGAUGGGUUGUUAAGUCAGUGGUGAAAGUUUGGGGCUCAACCCUAACAUUGCAAUUGAUACUGGCAGCCUUGAGUUCAGUAGAGGUAGGCGGAAUGCGCGGUGUAGCGGUGAAAUGCUUAGAUAUCACGAAGAACUCCGAUUGCGAAGGCAGCCUACCAGACUCACACUGACGUUGAGGCACGAAAGUGUGGGUAUCAAACGGGAUUAGAUACCCCUGUAGUC